ACCGUUCAACUCUUAUGAGUCGGAAGUAAGCGAAAGCUGAAGGAACGCACC
This 51-nucleotide non-coding RNA is filed under the name unclassified sequences. The record is from Rfam.